This is a non-coding RNA of Oncorhynchus gorbuscha (pink salmon), 1044 nucleotides long. The record is from the annotation of a RefSeq genome assembly. NCBI's taxonomy places the organism in Eukaryota, Metazoa, Chordata, Actinopteri, Salmoniformes, Salmonidae.
AUGGAGCACCUGAACUCCUCCAGCACCUCCAGCAUGGACCCCACCUCCCUGGAUUUAGGUCGCCUGACUUCAAACAUCGUCCUGGGGCUGUGCUGUGUGCUGGGCCUCCCUGGUAACAUAGCUGUUCUGGUGGUCAAACUGCGCAGCUCGUCCCAACACCCCAACUUUACCGUGUGUCUCAUGCUGAACCUGGCGUCCUCUGACAUCUUGUACAUGGCCACGAUACAUGUGUGUAUCUAUACUCUCCUGCCUGAGCCACUGACACGCAGCACAAUGAUGAUGUCACUGAUUCUACUGCUGGGGACACUGGGGCUCCUUGUUCAGGACUCAUCAGCAGAUAUAAUUCUGACUCAGUCUCCUAAAUCUCAGUCUGUUAGUCCAGGAGAGGUUGUCUCUCUCAGCUGUACAGCCAGUUCAAGUACUGGUAAUGCGCUUAGCUGGUACCUGCAGAAACCUGGAGAAGCUCCUAAACUCCUGGUUCAUAGUGCUACAACCCGUCAGUCUGGGAUUCCAGGUCGUUUCAGUGGGAGUGGAUCUGGUAGUCCUUAUACUCAUUACACUCUGACCAUCAGUGGAGUCCAGGCUGAAGAUGCAGGAGAUUACUACUGUCAGCAGGGUGGCAGCUAUCCGUUCACACAGUGUUAGAGCUUCGUACAAAAACCUCCCUCAGCUAAAGAGGAACUGCUCUGACUCAACAGCUGCAGAGCUACAGAGUCUCCCGUAUUCUAAAGUAUUUUAAACACCAAUUCUUUGAAAAAUGACGCAUACUGUACAUAUCUCUCUAUAUAUUCUCCAAAUAUGUUAAAUCUUUGCAAACACACUGGGACCAAUAAGGAUACAGAGCUGUAGAAAAUGCUUUCUUUUGAAGGACAUGUUAAGCAAAGUUUAGGUUUAGGGGUUUAGAUUUACGCUUCGAUUUCUCUUCAUAUUGUAAGAAGAACUCAUUUCAGUACACAACAGCAUGAGUGUUGACCCCGUCUGAACCAAACUAUUCAUGCCCUACUCAACUUCUAUACGCCUCCAAACUUGAAUGAGUGAAUACAG